Molecule: ribosomal RNA, 468 nt
Filed under: uncultured bacterium
Lineage: Bacteria
Description: partial 16S ribosomal RNA
Rfam family: Bacterial small subunit ribosomal RNA
Source: RNAcentral
GACGAACGCUGGCGGCGUGCUUAACACAUGCAAGUCGAACGGAAAGGCCCUGCUCUUGUGGGGUGCUCGAGUGGCGAACGGGUGAGUAACACGCGAGUAACCUGCCCUUGACUUUGGGAUAACUUCAGGAAACGGGGGCUAAUAUCGGAUAGGAGCUCCUGCUGCAUGGGGGGGGUUGGUAAGGUUCGGCGGUUGUGGCUGGGCUCGCGGCUUAUCAGCUUGUUGGUCGGGUAGUGGCUUACCACGGCUUUGGCGGGUAGCCGGCCUGAGCGGGUGAACGGCCCCAUUGGGACUGAGAUACGGCGCAGACGCGUACGGGAGGCAGCAGGGGGGAGUAUGGCGCAGUAGGGGGGCGCCGGAGGCGACGGCGCCCCGUGCGGGAUGACGGCCUUCGGGUUGUGAACCGAUGUCGCCUGUGACGAGGCGUGAGUGACGGUAAUGGGUAAAGAAGCACCGGCUAACUACGUG